UGUGCAUGACUCUGUGUGUGUGUGUGCUCUGUUUGCAUGUGCGUCUCUGUGAUGCGCAUGCGUUUUGGGCUGGGUGAGAGAGAGUCUAUAGAUGUGUGUAUGUGUAUU
This is a long non-coding RNA of Octopus sinensis (East Asian common octopus), 108 nucleotides long. RefSeq lists it as uncharacterized. NCBI's taxonomy places the organism in Eukaryota, Metazoa, Mollusca, Cephalopoda, Octopoda, Octopodidae. The transcript is spliced from 3 exons. The record is from RefSeq and is a predicted model, not a curated record.